This is a long non-coding RNA of Mizuhopecten yessoensis (Yesso scallop), 673 nucleotides long. RefSeq lists it as uncharacterized. Lineage: Eukaryota; Metazoa; Mollusca; Bivalvia; Pectinida; Pectinidae. The record is from RefSeq and is a predicted model, not a curated record. The transcript has 3 exons.
UUUCUGUAGACAACAGACAUGGGCAGCCACUGGAACACUACAGGGUACCCUCUGUUUAUGGGACCUGCCAACACAGAUUUUUCGAAGCUCCUGUCAACAUGAGGCAGGUGUAGUCAGACUUAAGUGGGAUCCCACUGCCCCCCUGGUAUACACUGCGUGUCUGGACGGUGUUGUGCGUCUGUGGGACAGUCGCAUUGGUCAGUGUGUCAACCAGUGGUCCAGUCACACAGACUGCAUACUGGACCUGGACUUGUCAAGGUAAUGUAUACACGCUUGUAUUUAAUAAAAUCUCUCCAGGCACAGGAUCAUGUGACGGCUAUAAUACUAGUCCGAGGUUCACAUAACAAUUUUGGACUCAAAACCAAAUUUUAAAUGUCAACAAGAUACAGAGGAUAUUCUAGGUUUUAAUGUUAAUUAAUAACAGGUACGGUAGUUCACGUCUGGGUCAAGCAUGUUGGUGUUUUGCGAGAGUGAAAAAUAUUCUCUCUCAGAUUUCGCAUUCUUCCUAUCAUAUGAUGACUCAAAUUCAAGAUAGAAACAAUAAGAUAUAUGAGUUACUUUAAAAUUGUGACUCAGACAUUUGGAUACAUGAUAGUCUCUCUUACCAAAUUUCUGUGAAAAGUUUUUUUCACGAACUGUAAGCUAUUGACAAUACGUAUGAAAUAGAACUAGU